Molecule: ribosomal RNA, 447 nt
Filed under: uncultured bacterium
Lineage: Bacteria
Description: bacterial SSU rRNA
Rfam family: Bacterial small subunit ribosomal RNA
Source: RNAcentral
UCGGGAAUUUUGGGCAGUGGGGGAAACCCUGACCCAGCAACGCCGCGUGAAGGAUGAAGUAUUUCGGUAUGUAAACUUCGAAAGAAUAGGAAGAAUAAAUGACGGUACUAUUUAUAAGGUCCGGCUAACUACGUGCCAGCAGCCGCGGUAAUACGUAGGGACCAAGCGUUGUUCGGAUUUACUGGGCGUAAAGGGCGCGUAGGCGGCAUGACAAGUCACUUGUGAAAUCUCUGGGCUUAACCCAGAACGGCCAAGUGAUACUGUCGCGCUAGAGUGCAGAAGGGGCAAUCGGAAUUCUUGGUGUAGCGGUGAAAUGCGUAGAUAUCAAGAGGAACACCUGAGGUGAAGACGGGUUGCUGGGCUGACACUGACGCUGAGGCGCGAAAGCCAGGGGAGCAAACGGGAUUAGAUACCCCCGUAGUCCCUGAGCGGGCUGGCAAGGCGCAU